This 497-nucleotide ribosomal RNA is filed under the name uncultured bacterium. RNAcentral's name for it is "partial 16S ribosomal RNA". It matches the Rfam family "Bacterial small subunit ribosomal RNA", at positions 28 to 507 of the family's 1533-position model. The record is from RNAcentral.
GAUGAACGCUGGCGGCGUGCCUAAUACAUGCAAGUCGAGCGAACAGACGAGGAGCUUGCUCCUCUGACGUUAGCGGCGGACGGGUGAGUAACACGUGGAUAACCUACCUAUAAGACUGGGAUAACUUCGGGAAACCGGAGCUAAUACCGGAUAAUAUAUUGAACCGCAUGGUUCAAUAGUGAAAGACGGUUUUGCUGUCACUUAUAGAUGGAUCCGCGCCGCAUUAGCUAGUUGGUAAGGUAACGGCUUACCAAGGCGACGAUGCGUAGCCGACCUGAGAGGGUGAUCAGCCCCACUGGAACUGAGACACGGGCCAGAAUCCCAAGGGAGGGCACAGGGGGGAAAAUUCCCCAAAGGGGGGAAGCCUGAGCGAGCCAACCCCGGUGGGUGAAGAAAGGCUUUGGGUUGGAAAAACUUUUUUUUGGGGAAAAAAAAAAGGGGGAAGAAACUAUGCCGUUCUGAACGGAACCAAAUCAGAAAGCCACGGCAAACUAGUG